Molecule: ribosomal RNA, 427 nt
Filed under: uncultured prokaryote
Description: bacterial SSU rRNA
Rfam family: Bacterial small subunit ribosomal RNA
Source: RNAcentral
UGAGGAAUUUUGGGCAAUGGGAGCAAUCCUGACGCAGCAACGCCGCGUGGGUGAUGAAGGCCUUCGGGUCGUAAAGCCCUGUCAGGUGGAAGAAUGUCCCGGGACUGAACAGGUUCCGGGAGUGACGGUACCACCAGAGGAAGCACCGGCUAACUCCGUGCCAGCAGCCGCGGUAAUACGGAGGGUGCAAGCGUUAUUCGGAAUUACUGGGCGUAAAGCGCGUGUAGGCGGUCCCGCAAGUCUGAUGUGAAAGCCCCGGGCUUAACCCGGGAAGUGCAUUGGAAACUGUGGGACUUGAGUACUGGAGAGGAUGGGGGAAUUCCCGGUGUAGAGGUGAAAUUCGUAGAGAUCGGGAGGAAUAUCAGUGGCGAAGGCGCCCAUCUGGACGGUAACUGACGCUGAGACGCGAAAGCGUGGGGAGCAAACA